ACCGCAAUGAUUACUCUACUUAAAUAUAUAUUUCUGUUUUAUUUGAUGAAGAUUGGAUUUACGUUAGAAGAAAAUGCAAACUCUACAGGUAGUUGGAGAGUAUUGUUUAUUAGUAAAGAUGGGAGUAACACAGAGCCCUAUUCACUACUUAUGUUAAACCAAUCUGAUAGUACUACACCUUUUUGUUCAUCUGAUUAUCAACUUUAUGAUGAGAUUCAGAUUGAUCAUUGUGUAACUACAGAUCUUAUUAACUGGCAACAAAAUCCACCUGAUAAGGUAGCUGUAACUUAUACCAACCAAUAUGGUGAAUUAUUAAACUGCAUGGUUUAUAACAACAGUGAAGUUAAGUUAAAUUCUACGUCGAGAGAAAAAUGGUUUAAUACUUCAUAUAUGAUAGACAGUACAUAUUGGUACAAUAGUUUCGACGUCGUACU
Long non-coding RNA from Patella vulgata (common limpet), 434 nucleotides. RefSeq lists it as uncharacterized. The record is from RefSeq and is a predicted model, not a curated record. Lineage: Eukaryota; Metazoa; Mollusca; Gastropoda; Patellidae. The transcript has 3 exons.